CAUGCAAGUCGAACGGGGUAGCAAUACCUAGUGGCAGACGGGUGAGUAACAUGUGGGUACCUUCCCUUUGGUGAGGAAUAACACGAGGAAACUUGUGCUAAUACCUCAUAAGUCUUUACGGAGAAAGCUUUAUGCGCCAAUGGAUGGGCCCGCACUUGAUUAGUUUGUUGGUGGGGUAAUGGCCUACCAAGACUUUGAUCAAUAGCUGAUUUGAGAGGAUGAUCAGCCACAUUGGGACUGAGACACGGCCCAAACUCCUACGGGAGGCAGCAGUAGGGAAUCUUGCACAAUGGAGGAAACUCUGAUGCAGCGAUGCCGCGUGAGUGAAGAAGGCCCUUAGGUCGUAAAGCUCUUUCGUCGGGGAAGAAAAUGACUGUACCCGAAUAAGAAGGUCCGGCUAACUUCGUGCCAGCAGCCGCGGUAAUACGAAGGGACCUAGCGUAGUUCGGAAUUACUGGGCUUAAAGAGUUCGUAGGUGGUCAAAAAAGUUGGUGGUGAAAUCCCAGAGCUUAACUCUGGAACUGCCACCAAAACUUUUUAGCUAGAGUAUGAUAGAGGAAAGCAGAAUUUCUAGUGUAGAGGUGAAAUUCGUAGAUAUUA
RNAcentral lists this ribosomal RNA (600 nucleotides) under uncultured Alphaproteobacteria bacterium. RNAcentral's name for it is "bacterial SSU rRNA". It matches the Rfam family "Bacterial small subunit ribosomal RNA", at positions 54 to 699 of the family's 1533-position model. Lineage: Bacteria; Pseudomonadati; Pseudomonadota; Alphaproteobacteria. The record is from RNAcentral.